Long non-coding RNA from Leopardus geoffroyi (Geoffroy's cat), 1013 nucleotides. RefSeq lists it as uncharacterized. The record is from RefSeq and is a predicted model, not a curated record. NCBI's taxonomy places the organism in Eukaryota, Metazoa, Chordata, Mammalia, Carnivora, Felidae. The transcript has 3 exons.
UGAAGAACCCCAAACACUAGGAGACUAAAGAAGAAGAAGUUAUGAUCCAAAUCAAGUCUGAAAUUUCUUUCAACUGAUUGCUUUCCCUGCUAGUAACUCAAUAGGCAAUACUACUUCUUUCAAAAAUCUGUGAACAGAAGUGCUAUGAAGAAACAAAUUGGGAGAAAUCUUCAUUCUUCCCUUCUGCAGUCCCAGUGGAAAAUCCACCGUGUUUAUGAGGCCUCAAACUCUGACUUUCUGUCUCAUCAGCCUGGGAGACUGCUGGAGGUUCUGAUCGACGCCUGCCACCUGUGAAUUGCUGCAAUCGUUGGGAGAAUUUCCUGCCUGGGAGUCUGGAAACUGCCAAGAGUGAAAAGCCGCAGCCAGCCAGCGAGGCCUCUGUUGUCAUUGGCCCAAACAACAACAAAAACAGCCACAACCACCACCACCACCACAACAAAACACGCCACGUGUGCACAAGCACACACAAACACGCCCACAGAACCAACCAAACGGACAAGGCUUCAAGGAGAAGCUUCUGGGCUGCGCGUUCCGGCAGCGAGGCCUGUCCCUUGGCACGGGGCCAUGGCAGCCCAGUUCCCAGCCCCCCACCAUCUGUCAUCAGCACUCUGCCUACUGUAAGUGUGCCGACACAGUACACGGAGGCUAACAAGUAGCAAAUGGAGGGGAAGAACAAACAAAGCCACCACAGUCAGCGGGGGUAGGUGGCUAUGGUUUUGACACAAACUGACAGAAAGCCGGGAAAUUUAAACUGAAAGUUUGCCCUGAGGACCUUCAGCUGUGAGGGCUGGGCUGGAGGGGGGAGGGUGUGCGGUCAGGGAGGCUGGCAGUCUGAGAGGCUGAUGCUCCCGACCUAACCAGAGCGGCUCUUCCCAGACCCCGUGAACAGGAGACGCUGUGUAGACUCCAUUCCCACUGUUCGUGGAUUGCCCAAUAAGCCUCUCUCUUACAAGAAAAAGGAAAUUUUUUGUUUCCAAAAAAAAAAAAAAAAUACAAACUUUUUUCUAAUAAAA